UACGUAGGGUGCGAGCGUUAAUCGGAAUUACUGGGCGUAAAGCGUGCGCAGGCGGUUUUGUAAGCCAGAUGUGAAAUCCCCGGGCUUAACCUGGGAAUGGCAUUUGGGACUGCAAGGCUGGAGUGCGGCAGAGGAGACUGGAAUUCCUGGUGUAGCAGUGAGAUGCGUAGAUAUCAGGAGGAACACCUGUGGUGUAGACAGCUUACUGGACCAUUUCUGACGCUGAGACACGAAAGCGUGGGUAGCAAACAGG
Molecule: ribosomal RNA, 253 nt
Filed under: uncultured bacterium
Lineage: Bacteria
Description: partial 16S ribosomal RNA
Rfam family: Bacterial small subunit ribosomal RNA
Source: RNAcentral